GUGAAUCAUCGAAUCUUUGAACGCAAAUUGCACUCUCUGGUAUUCCGGAAAGCAUGCCUGUUUGAGGGUCAGUUAAUUCAUCAACGGUGUUGUUUCUGCAUUUCGUGCUGACGCGUCGGAUUUGAGUUGUCUUCCGUUUGCUUAAGUGACUUACAAUUUUUGCAUGAUUUUUGAACGUAUUUACAUCGUUUAUGUACGUUUGAGAUAUG
This 209-nucleotide unclassified non-coding RNA is filed under the name Glomus sp. RNAcentral's name for it is "partial contains 5.8S ribosomal RNA and internal transcribed spacer 2". The stretch from base 1 to 71 matches the Rfam family "5.8S ribosomal RNA", at positions 84 to 154 of the family's 154-position model. Lineage: Eukaryota; Fungi; Glomeromycota; Glomeromycetes; Glomerales; Glomeraceae. The record is from RNAcentral.